AUUGCCGAGGGAAGUCAGGAUUGUUAGUGCAGCAGUCAGAAGGCUAGAAAGGAACAGUUCGGCAGUCGAUCUCUGAAAGACAAGAACAAUGCUAGUCUGGAAGACAAGCAUAGUUUUCCAAUUCUAA
Molecule: long non-coding RNA, 127 nt
Organism: Leopardus geoffroyi (Geoffroy's cat)
Lineage: Eukaryota; Metazoa; Chordata; Mammalia; Carnivora; Felidae
Exons: 3
Source: RefSeq, a predicted model, not a curated record